Molecule: RNA transcript, 1016 nt
Organism: Selaginella moellendorffii
Lineage: Eukaryota; Viridiplantae; Streptophyta; Lycopodiopsida; Selaginellales; Selaginellaceae
Exons: 6
Source: RefSeq, a predicted model, not a curated record
GAAAAAGCACCAAAGAAAAGUAAGAUUAUUUUUUUUGCACUGGGAACUCGUUCUUUGUUCUUGUGGAAAGUCCGGGUUUCAGCUUUUUAGUUCUGAAUGCUCAGAGUGAUUCCAUCACUCAUAUGCGGAGAGCGACAUCUCUGGAAGAUAAGUUUAAAAGCUUUUGGAAUUGUCUAACCAAUUCCCGGUGACUCAAUUGCAGCGGACGAAUCUUUUCUUCGCACAGACAUCGACCUUGUCGCUGACACAACAGAGAAGUGGAACAGAUACUGUGAAGUUAUCUUACUCGUUUUUCCGGCAAUCUGGAUGGAUGGAUGGACGUUUAGCUUGUCUUCGUUUGUCUCGGCACGCUGAUUUUGACCGCUCGCAGGACUUGUGUUUUCUCAAGCCGGAAAGAAGGCCGGAGAGAUAGCACUGACACGAGAAGUGAAGCUUUUCUAUUAUGGCCUUUAAGAGGAAACAAGUUUAUCAUUUUAUCACUGGAGUUCAUCGUGGUGGCCAUGCUACUGCCUUCUAAAGUUUCGAACGCAUUUUGUCAGGAUCAAUGUUUCCGUAGUGUGAAACUCGUGGCGAUUGGAAGAAACUUGAGUUUUGUUCGCCACCACCGACUAUCUGACUCAUUGCUCAGAAAAGAUCGAGUCGUAAAGCGUCAAAGAGGCGGUUCCAAACAAGCUAUCGCCAUUGUCGGACCAGCGUGAAAGGUUUUCGCUCUCGUCUUCUCCAAGUUCUGCCACAGUGUGUGUUGUUCACUGUGGAUCAAAGUUCCGUGCCGACAAAAGCUAUUCUCCCGCUAGUUUGAUCCAUCACUGGGCUUUGAGCUACAAAACAAAAGAGGAGGAUAGGAUUUCGAUCGAGAGAAACUCGUUGCUGUUGCCACAUCGCGAAAGAAUCCACGAAAGGGAUUUGACUUGCGCUAGUGAAAGGCUGCCGCCUCCUCGCUCGCUCGCAGUGGGGUCCAAGCUCUUUAAGAGAGAAAACUAUUUCUCGAUUAAACAAAACCAUUGUCUAAUUCCGUA